RNAcentral lists this ribosomal RNA (520 nucleotides) under uncultured bacterium. RNAcentral describes it as "bacterial SSU rRNA". It matches the Rfam family "Bacterial small subunit ribosomal RNA", at positions 120 to 674 of the family's 1533-position model. The record is from RNAcentral.
GGGAACAUACCCUUUUCUACGGAAUAGCUCUGGGAAACUGGAAUUAAUACCGUAUACGCCCUACGGGGGAAAGAUUUAUCGGGGAAGGAUUGGCCCGCGUUGGAUUAGCUAGUUGGUGGGGUAAAGGCCUACCAAGGCGACGAUCCAUAGCUGGUCUGAGAGGAUGAUCAGCCACAUUGGGACUGAGACACGGCCCAAACUCCUACGGGAGGCAGCAGUGGGGAAUAUUGGACAAUGGGCGCAAGCCUGAUCCAGCCAUGCCGCGUGAGUGAUGAAGGCCUUAGGGUUGUAAAGCUCUUUCACCGAUGAAGAUAAUGACGGUAGUCGGAGAAGUAGCCCCGGCUAACUUCGUGCCAGCAGCCGCGGUAAUACGAAGGGGGCUAGCGUUGUUCGGAAUUACUGGGCGUAAAGCGCACGUAGGCGGAUAUUUAAGUCAGGGGUGAAAUCCCAGAGCUCAACUCUGGAACUGCCUUUGAUACUGGGUAUCUUGAGUAUGGAAGAGGUAAGUGGAAUUGCGAGU